GAGGAGUUUAUUUUGUUUCACACUUUGAGAAGGGUCAGGGUUGACCUUAAUGCUAUCAUUUUCCAGUACAUGAAAGAUACUUUUCGCUUUAAACGACUGGGUCAGGCAAAGGAAACAUUUCCAUAUGGCAUGUUGUUAUCCAAGAUAUUCAUGUUUCAUAAUUUAAAUCUGGCUACACAAGUCCGUGAUAGAGACUGUGGUCCUGCAAUUAUAUUUGACUAUAAUAUUGAUGAUAUCUUUUAUUCAAGACUUACACCAACAUCGGGCGAGUCAGAACCAUUCCUUACAAUAAUAGUUGAAGAUGAUGAUAUGGUUGAAGACAUAAACUUAGAUAAUUUAGAUGAGUCAGAUAGUUCAGAUAAUAUGGAUAUAUCUGAUGAUUCAGAGGAUGAUUCAGACGAUGAUUUAGACGAUGGUUCAAAUGAUGGUUCAGAUGGUGUAUGGGAAAACAAAUCUAUAGAUAGAAUUAGAAAUUAGAUUUAUGUAAUUAUGUAUACAACAUUACAACAGUUGAUUCAUAAAUGCAAUUUUAUUUUAUUUUCAUUUACAUAUUACAUGUCAUUUUCACAAAUAUAUUUUUCCAAAUUCGAAGUGAAAGAAAACACUCACAAAAAUGAAAAGGGGGAAAAAAUUAACCUACAGUCAAACAGUGCUCACUGCUCAAAUUUUAUGCGGUAUUACUUCAUCAUUACACAGCGCAUUGUAUAAACAGCACGGUUGAUAAUGUCAAACGGUGCUAAGAUAGUAUAACGAUCCACG
Molecule: long non-coding RNA, 759 nt
Filed under: Lupinus mutabilis
Lineage: Eukaryota; Viridiplantae; Streptophyta; Magnoliopsida; Fabales; Fabaceae
Description: partial ncRNA
Source: RNAcentral